Molecule: ribosomal RNA, 323 nt
Filed under: uncultured eukaryote
Lineage: Eukaryota
Description: partial 18S ribosomal RNA
Rfam family: Eukaryotic small subunit ribosomal RNA
Source: RNAcentral
CCCUUAGAUGUUCUGGGCUGCACGCGUGCUACACUGAUAUUGCCAAUAUGUCAUUCUUAUCCGAAAUGGAUUGGGUAAUCAAGUAAUGAAAUUUCAUGCUUGGAAUCGGUAAUUGCAAUUUUAUCGUGAACGAGGAAUUCCUAGUAAGCACUAGUCAUCAGCUAAUGUUGAUUAUGUCCCUGCCCUUUGUACACACCGCCCGUCGCUACUACUGAUUGGGUGUUCAAGUGAGAUGCUUAGACCCUUGUUGCAUGGUUCAUUAUUGUGCUCCGAAAGGAAAAAGUUUCAAGCUUGAGCGUCUAGAGGAAGUAAAAGUCGUAACA